This 301-nucleotide ribosomal RNA is filed under the name uncultured bacterium. RNAcentral describes it as "partial 16S ribosomal RNA". It matches the Rfam family "Bacterial small subunit ribosomal RNA", at positions 509 to 807 of the family's 1533-position model. The record is from RNAcentral.
CAGCCGCCGCGGGAAUACGUAGGGUGCGAGCGUUAAUCGGAAUUACUGGGCGUAAAGCGGGCGCAGACGGUUACUUAAGCAGGAUGUGAAAUCCCCGGGCUCAACCUGGGAACUGCGUUCUGAACUGGGUAACUAGAGUGUGUCAGAGGGAGGUAGAAUUCCACGUGUAGCAGUGAAAUGCGUAGAGAUGUGGAGGAAUACCGAUGGCGAAGGCAGCCUCCUGGGAUAACACUGACGUUCAUGCCCGAAAGCGUGGGUAGCAAACAGGAUUAGAUACCCCCGUAGUCCCUGUCUCUUAUAC